RNAcentral lists this ribosomal RNA (282 nucleotides) under uncultured bacterium. RNAcentral describes it as "partial 16S ribosomal RNA". It matches the Rfam family "Bacterial small subunit ribosomal RNA", at positions 28 to 311 of the family's 1533-position model. The record is from RNAcentral.
GACGAACGCUGGCGGCGUGCUUAACACAUGCAAGUCGAGCGGUAAGGCCCUUCGGGGGUACACGAGCGGCGAACGGGUGAGUAACACGUGGGUGACCUGCCCUCAGCUCUGGGAUAAGCCCGGGAAACUGGGUCUAAUACUGGAUAUGACUCCAUGACGCAGUGUUGUGGGUGGAAAGCCUUGUGCGGCUGGGGGAUGGGCCCGCGGCCUAUCAGCUUGGUUGGUGGGUGAUGGCCUACCAAGGCGACGACGGGUAGCCGGCCUGAGAGGGCGACCGGCCAC